AACGAACGCUGGCGGCAGGCCUAACACAUGCAAGUCGAGCGAUCCUUCGGGAUAGCGGCGGACGGGUGAGUAACGCGUGGGAAUAUGCCCUUCACUACGGAAUAGCCCAGGGAAACUUGGAUUAAUACCGUAUACGCCCUUUUGGGGAAAGAUUUAUCGGUGAAGGAUUAGCCCGCGUUGGAUUAGGUAGUUGGUGGGGUAAUGGCCUACCAAGCCUACGAUCCAUAGCUGGUUUGAGAGGAUGAUCAGCCACACUGGGACUGAGACACGGCCCAGACUCCUACGGGAGGCAGCAGUGGGGAAUCUUAGACAAUGGGGGCAACCCUGAUCUAGCCAUGCCGCGUGAGUGAUGAAGGCCUUAGGGUUGUAAAGCUCUUUCGUCGAGUGCGCGAUCAUGACAGGACUCGAGGAAGAAGCCCCGGCUAACUCCGUGCCAGCCGCCGCAGUAAAAC
RNAcentral lists this ribosomal RNA (452 nucleotides) under uncultured bacterium. RNAcentral describes it as "bacterial SSU rRNA". It matches the Rfam family "Bacterial small subunit ribosomal RNA", at positions 29 to 526 of the family's 1533-position model. The record is from RNAcentral.